UAAACUUCUUUUAUUAAGGACGAAAAAUGACGGUACUUAAUGAAUAAGCUCCGGCUAACUACGUGCCAGCAGCCGCGGUAAUACGUAGGGAGCAAGCGUUGUCCGGAUUUACUGGGUGUAAAGGGUGCGUAGGCGGCUUUGCAAGUCAGAUGUGAAAUCUAUGGGCUCAACCCAUAAACUGCAUUUGAAACUGUAGAGCUUGAGUGAAGUAGAGGCAGGCGGAAUUCCCCGUGUAGCGGUGAAAUGCGUAGAGAUGGGGAGGAACACCAGUGGCGAAGGCGGCCUGCUGGGCUUUAACUGACGCUGAGGCACGAAAGCGUGGGUAGCAAACAGGAUUAGAUACCCUGGUAGUCCACGCUGUAAACGAUGAUUACUAGGUGUGGGGGGUCUGACCCCUUCCGUGCCGGAGUUAACACAAUAAGUAAUCCACCUGGGGAGUACGGCCGCAAGGUUGAAACUCAAAGGAAUUGACGGGGGCCCGCACAAGCAGUGGAGUAUGUGGUUUAAUUCGAAGCAACGCGAAGAACCUUACCAGGUCUUGACAU
This 545-nucleotide ribosomal RNA is filed under the name uncultured bacterium. RNAcentral's name for it is "bacterial SSU rRNA". It matches the Rfam family "Bacterial small subunit ribosomal RNA", at positions 426 to 987 of the family's 1533-position model. The record is from RNAcentral.